Molecule: ribosomal RNA, 1403 nt
Filed under: Mycobacterium rhizamassiliense
Lineage: Bacteria; Bacillati; Actinomycetota; Actinomycetes; Mycobacteriales; Mycobacteriaceae
Description: 16S ribosomal RNA
Rfam family: Bacterial small subunit ribosomal RNA
Source: RNAcentral
CGUAGAGUUUUGAUCCUGGCUCAGGACGAACGCUGGCGGCGUGCUUAACACAUGCAAGUCGAACGGAAAGGCCCCUUCGGGGGUACUCGAGUGGCGAACGGGUGAGUAACACGUGGGUAAUCUGCCCUGCACUUCGGGAUAAGCCUGGGAAACUGGGUCUAAUACCGAAUAGGACCACUUAGCGCAUGCUUUGUGGUGGAAAGCUUUUGCGGUGUGGGAUGGGCCCGCGGCCUAUCAGCUUGUUGGUGGGGUGACGGCCUACCAAGGCGACGACGGGUAGCCGGCCUGAGAGGGUGUCCGGCCACACUGGGACUGAGAUACGGCCCAGACUCCUACGGGAGGCAGCAGUGGGGAAUAUUGCACAAUGGGCGCAAGCCUGAUGCAGCGACGCCGCGUGGGGGAUGACGGCCUUCGGGUUGUAAACCUCUUUCAGCAGGGACGAAGCGCAAGUGACGGUACCUGCAGAAGAAGCACCGGCCAACUACGUGCCAGCAGCCGCGGUAAUACGUAGGGUGCGAGCGUUGUCCGGAAUUACUGGGCGUAAAGAGCUCGUAGGUGGUUUGUCGCGUUGUUCGUGAAAACCGGGGGCUUAACCCUCGGCGUGCGGGCGAUACGGGCAGACUGGAGUACUGCAGGGGAGACUGGAAUUCCUGGUGUAGCGGUGGAAUGCGCAGAUAUCAGGAGGAACACCGGUGGCGAAGGCGGGUCUCUGGGCAGUAACUGACGCUGAGGAGCGAAAGCGUGGGGAGCGAACAGGAUUAGAUACCCUGGUAGUCCACGCCGUAAACGGUGGGUACUAGGUGUGGGUUUCCUUCCUUGGAAUCCGUGCCGUAGCUAACGCAUUAAGUACCCCGCCUGGGGAGUACGGCCGCAAGGCUAAAACUCAAAGGAAUUGACGGGGGCCCGCACAAGCGGCGGAGCAUGUGGAUUAAUUCGAUGCAACGCGAAGAACCUUACCUGGGUUUGACAUGCACAGGACGCUGGUAGAGAUAUCAGUUCCCUUGUGGCCUGUGUGCAGGUGGUGCAUGGCUGUCGUCAGCUCGUGUCGUGAGAUGUUGGGUUAAGUCCCGCAACGAGCGCAACCCUUAUCUUAUGUUGCCAGCGGGUAAUGCCGGGGACUCGUGAGAGACUGCCGGGGUCAACUCGGAGGAAGGUGGGGAUGACGUCAAGUCAUCAUGCCCCUUAUGUCCAGGGCUUCACACAUGCUACAAUGGCCGGUACAAAGGGCUGCGAUGCCGCAAGGUUAAGCGAAUCCUUUUAAAGCCGGUCUCAGUUCGGAUCGGGGUCUGCAACUCGACCCCGUGAAGUCGGAGUCGCUAGUAAUCGCAGAUCAGCAACGCUGCGGUGAAUACGUUCCCGGGCCUUGUACACACCGCCCGUCACGUCAUGAAAGUCGGUAACAC